GGAGGGGACCAACGAACGGGGACCUGAUUACUCUACUAGACAUUAGUAACUAACUUAGAAAGACGAGCUUCCUUCUAUUGGAACAGGAAACGAGAGGAGAAAGAUACCACUGGUGUAGAUGAAAGUGAGUCUGAUUCCAAACUAGUUUAUUCCUGCUAUCCCAUAUUCCCCACAUGAGCACUAAAGCUCCAUCACUGACUUCGAAAUCAAGGGAAGAAAAAAGAUUGCUUAAACCUUCCAUAACUGAGUUUACAUUCCCAGCCAAAAAACCAAUAUUGGACAAUCUCCAGCAAUCUUGAGCAAAAUGGCAUCGAAACAACGUAUGCUUAGUGGAUUCCGAAUUCAAAUAGCAAACAGAGUAAAACUCUUCCAUGUUAACUCUCUUCUUCAACAACUGAACCAUUGUAGGAAGC
RNAcentral lists this unclassified non-coding RNA (413 nucleotides) under Hevea brasiliensis (rubber tree). Lineage: Eukaryota; Viridiplantae; Streptophyta; Magnoliopsida; Malpighiales; Euphorbiaceae. The record is from RNAcentral.